CGGGCUGUAGCGCAGCUUGGUAGCGCGUCCGUCUGGGGGACGGAAGGUCGUGAGUUCGAAUCUCGCCAGCCCGA
This 74-nucleotide transfer RNA is filed under the name Albimonas donghaensis. It matches the Rfam family "tRNA". Rfam says of the family: Transfer RNA (tRNA) molecules are approximately 80 nucleotides in length. RNAcentral also lists the same sequence under 1 other name. The record is from Rfam by way of RNAcentral. Lineage: Bacteria; Pseudomonadati; Pseudomonadota; Alphaproteobacteria; Rhodobacterales; Paracoccaceae.